UACAGAGGUCCCAAGCGUUGUUCGGAUUCACUGGGCGUAAAGGGUGCGUAGGCGGUUUGGUAAGUCUGACGUUAAAUCUUCAAGCUUAACUUGGAAACUGCGUCGGAUACUAUUCGGCUAGAGGAAUGGAGGGGAGACUGGAAUACUUGGUGUAGCAGUGAAAUGCGUAGAUAUCAAGUGGAACACCAGUGGCGAAGGCGAGUCUCUGGACAUUUCCUGACGCUGAGGCACGAAAGCCAGGGGAGCAAACGGG
RNAcentral lists this ribosomal RNA (253 nucleotides) under uncultured bacterium. Its description in RNAcentral is "partial 16S ribosomal RNA". It matches the Rfam family "Bacterial small subunit ribosomal RNA", at positions 524 to 776 of the family's 1533-position model. The record is from RNAcentral.